GAUGAACGCUGGCGGCGUGCCUAACACAUGCAAGUCGAGCGGAUGAAGGUAGCUUGCUACCUGAUUCAGCGGCGGACGGGUGAGUAAUGCCUAGGAAUCUGCCUGGUAGUGGGGGGCAACGUUUCGAAAGGAACGCUAAUACCGCAUACGUCCUACGGGAGAAAGUGGGGGAUCUUCGGACCUCACGCUAUCAGAUGAGCCUAGGUACGAUUAGCUAGUUGGUGAGGUAAAGGCUCACCAAGGCGACGAUCGUUAACUGGUCUGAGAGGAUGAUCAGUCACACUGGAACUGAGACACGGUCCAGACUCCUACGGGAGGCAGCAGUGGGGAAUAUUGGACAAUGGGCGAAAGCCUGAUCCAGCCAUGCCGCGUGUGUGAAGAAGGUCUUCGGAUUGUAAAGCACUUUAAGUUGGGAGGAAGGGCAGUAAGUUAAUACCUUGCUGUUUUGACGUUACCGACAGAAUAAGCACCGGCUAACUUCGUGCCAGCCGCCGCCGUAA
This 500-nucleotide ribosomal RNA is filed under the name uncultured bacterium. Its description in RNAcentral is "partial 16S ribosomal RNA". It matches the Rfam family "Bacterial small subunit ribosomal RNA", at positions 28 to 523 of the family's 1533-position model. The record is from RNAcentral.